RNAcentral lists this ribosomal RNA (449 nucleotides) under uncultured bacterium. RNAcentral describes it as "partial 16S ribosomal RNA". It matches the Rfam family "Bacterial small subunit ribosomal RNA", at positions 29 to 523 of the family's 1533-position model. The record is from RNAcentral.
AACGAACGCUGGCGGCAGGCUUAACACAUGCAAGUCGAACGCGCCCUUCGGGGCGAGUGGCAGACGGGUGAGUAACGCGUGGGAACCUACCUUUUGGUACGGAAUAACUCAGGGAAACUUGAGCUAAUACCGUAUGUGCCCUUCGGGGGAAAGAUUUAUCGCCAAAGGAUGGGCCCGCGUCGGAUUAGCUAGUUGGUGGGGUAAUGGCCUACCAAGGCGACGAUCCGUAGCUGGUCUGAGAGGAUGAUCAGCCACACUGGGACUGAGACACGGCCCAGACUCCUACGGGAGGCAGCAGUGGGGAAUAUUGGACAAUGGGGGCAACCCUGAUCCAGCCAUGCCGCGUGAGUGAUGAAGGCCUUAGGGUUGUAAAGCUCUUUCGCCGGUGAAGAUAAUGACGGUAACCGGAGAAGAAGCCCCGGCUAACUUCGUGCCAGCCGCCGCUGUAA